GAUGAACGCUAGCGGCAGGCUUAACACAUGCAAGUCGAGGGGCAGCAUAAUGGAUAGCAAUAUCUAUGGUGGCGACCGGCGCACGGGUGCGUAACGCGUAUGCAACCUACCUUUAACAGGGGGAUAACACUGAGAAAUUGGUACUAAUACCCCAUAAUAUCAUAGAAGGCAUCUUUUAUGGUUGAAAAUUCCGAUGGUUAGAGAUGGGCAUGCGUUGUAUUAGCUAGUUGGUGGGGUAACGGUUCACCAAGGCGACGAUACAUAGGGGGACUGAGAGGUUAACCCCCCACACUGGUACUGAGACACGGACCAGACUCCUACGGGAGGCAGCAGUGAGGAAUAUUGGUCAAUGGACGCAAGUCUGAACCAGCCAUGCCGCGUGCAGGAUGACGGCUCUAUGAGUUGUAAACUGCUUUUGUACGAGGGUAAACGCAGAUACGUGUAUCUGUCUGAAAGUAUCGUACGAAUAAGGAUCGGCUAACUCCGUG
RNAcentral lists this ribosomal RNA (488 nucleotides) under uncultured bacterium. Its description in RNAcentral is "partial 16S ribosomal RNA". It matches the Rfam family "Bacterial small subunit ribosomal RNA", at positions 28 to 507 of the family's 1533-position model. The record is from RNAcentral.